GGCUUUGCAGAGUGGGAAGGAGUUUGCCAGUGGAUGAACAGUGUGGUGGGCACAGGCCACGAAGUGUGUGAUGGCCGGGGGCUGGGAGCAGAGCCUGGUGUGCUGGAGCUGGUGACAGGGACAAUGAUGGGGAGGCAGUGUCCAGGCAGAAGAGGCCUCAGCAGUCUAUGCUGGGGAGGGUAGGCGGGCUGGGCCCUGCUGGGGCUGAGAGACGUGGCUGCUGCUCCUGAGUGGCCCCUGGUACAGGGGCCUCUGGCAAGUUCUGCCACUGGGGAGAGAGACCGAGGGGGCGUGGGUCACUUGAGAUGGGUUGGCGGAGAAAGCACCCCCAUGUGCUCCUGCGAUAAGAUGCCGCCCCCUGGAAUCUACGAGAGCAGUUAACUAACAAAUAUGUGAGUCAGAGAGAAAUGGGGAGGAGAUAGCUUUUUUUUCUUUUUUUUUUGCAGUACAAGGGAUUAAACAGAGGACUUUUGCACUGAGCUACAUCCCCAGCCCUUUUAUAUUUUUUUUAGUAUAUGUGCUGCCGAAGCGAGCACACCUUUUAUAUUUUUUAUUUUGAGACAGGGUCUCACUAAGUUGCUAAAUUGCCCAGGAUCGUCUCAAACCCAUGGAGAUCCCUCUGCCUCAGCUGGGGUUAAAGGCGUGUGUCAGCAUACCCAGCGACAGGUAGUGGCUUUUCGUUGAUGGCCAAUGAAUGGGUGGUUCUGAGUCCUCAAAGUGUCUUCAAAGACACUGAACCCCAGCAGGCCCAGAAGGGGGCCCCCCUACCCAAGCCUGGCGGUUUCCAUGGCAUCCAGGGCUCUGCGGGGGGCUGACGGCCAAGGGAGGGGCUUCCUGAGGUCCUGGGCUCCGGGAAGCCUGGUCAGAGGGGAGCAGUGGGAAGUACUGGGUCGAGUUCCUGCCGUCCCCCAGACGGCGGAGCCGAGCGGAGAGAAACACCGGCCUGGUGCACACCUGCGGCAAGGUGGGGCUUCGGGACCCGGAGCGGAGAGACGCUGGAUUCUGCAUCACCAUGCCCGACUCCUAGCAGCCCUGGGCUCAGCCCUGAGCCUCGACUUCCUUCUCUGUCUGCUGAGGGAUGUGUGCACUGACCCCCCAAUCAACUGUAAGGAGGGCGGGGGUGGAAAAGCUGAGGACCCAGCCUGAAGUGCACAUCCACUGGCAACCCCAUCUGCGAGCCUCCACCUCCUCCUGAAUGAGGACCUGAGCUCCCCCUUGCAGUGGAGGCUGACUCAGGAUGCACUUCAGAGGAGGGAGGUGCAGUGUCCCCAGCCUGGCAGGUGGGGGCUUGGACUCCUCAGAGCCACCGCACAACCCGAGCCUGCACCCUGGGAAUCCCGCAGGGCACAGCCAAAGCCCCCUGAACCCUGAGCCACGCUGCCACCUUCUGGGCCCAGGGCCUGGGCUGGAUGUUGAGCAGUGGCCCCAUCAGAGGCCCAGGCGUCUCCCUGGUCUGAGCAUGCGGAAGUCCUGCAGCUGUCACACCCACAUCUCCUGGGCGCAGAAAACCUAAAAGCUAGAUGAGCGGCUUAUGUGAAAGUCAUUCCUCCCCACCACGAGGGACGUUUUGGUACUCUGUGCACAGCUAUAAUCCCAGCACUCUGGGAGGCUGAGGCAGGAGGAUCAGAAGUUUGAUCCCAGCCUGGGCAACUUAGCAAGUGAAUGAGGAGACCCUGCCUUAAAAUAAAAAAUAAAAAAGGGCUGGGGAUGGAGCUCAGUGAAAGGUCCUGGGUUCAAUCCCCGGUACUGGAAUAAAGGAAAAAAGAAAAGAGAGCAAGAUGGGUUUGGGUUGUGGGCAGGACCAGCUGAGCAAACCUGGUAGAAAGGGUGUUUGUGACCACACCAUCUCAUCGGCAUCAGCUUGGACAGAACGUGCUGAGGAGAAGAACAAAGCAAGCAUCAGCCCCGAGUGACCCAAAGGUGAUAACCGGCAGCAGCAGUUGUAGGAGGGCAGGGCGGUGAGGCCAGGGUGGAGGAGGAUUUCUGUCUUCCCCAGCAAGGCUCGGGAGAGGAGCUGAGCGUGCAGGUGGCCUGGCGGGUGGUGUUUCUCCUGCUGUGGGCAGGACGGGGCCAGCUGACUGGGCAUCUCCGAACGACAGCUCUCUCCCCCCAGCCCCUGUCUCUGAUCGGCUGGCUGGGCCCGGCAGGGAGGCCAGUGGCUUGGUCGCUUCCGUGGGGCUCCCGGUGGGAAGUCCUGGCUGCGCUCCCCUCCCCCGCCUUGGCCGCGUGGUCCAGGAGAGGCACAGCCGGAAGUGUGGAGGAGGGGUGCGGGCUGGGGGUGUCGGCCAUCUGUGCUGGGCAGAAACCGCAGGUGGGGCCACCUGGAGGGGGCUCACUGGCCUGGCAAACCCCAGCUUUAGCCCGGCCUCAGUUUACCACUGGCCUGCUGGCGCGAGGCUGAGAUGAGGUCACAGGAAAGGGUUCCCGUGGAUCGGGUGGGUGCUCUCCCUCUCCAGGGGAUCAGGCCCCAGGGCUCCUUAGAGCCCUUGUAAGGAAGCCCUGGCAGGGAGGUGUGGCCAGCAGAAACUGUCCCUGUUUGCAUCCCUGUGGGUGGGGCAGGUGUGGAGGGCCCUAGUGGGGCCGCCUCCCUGGUUCUGUGAUCACACAUUCCCUGUGUACCUAUGUGAGGCUGCAGUUAAGUAGGACACUGCUGUGUCCUCCGGGAGCCCCCCGCCCAGCUGGGGAAACACAGGUGUGUCACCUUCCCCUGCCUGUAACAGAUUGUCCGGCCAGCCCGCAUGGUCACCCAGCCCAAUGACCCCCACAUGCCUGGUGCUCACAGAGGAAGCUCGUCAACCCUGAUUGGCCACAGUCAGUGAUUCUCCCUCGGGAAGCUGAGGGGGCCACUUGUCUGUGUGGGUUGGAACUGGACACUCGGAAGCUGUAUGUGGUGGCACAGGGCUGAUAUCCCAGUACUCUGGGAGGCUGAGGCAGGAGGAUGGCAGGUUUGAGUACAGCCUGGGCAAUGUAGCGACUUAGCAAGAUCCUCUCUCCAAAAAAAAUAAAAAGGAAAUGGACACACAGCCACCGCAGGACUCGGUAGUGGGGAGCUCAGGGGUGCCAGAGAGCCCUGGCCCGGAGUCACUGACCUCCAGGCCCUCACCCUGCUCCCGGUGGGAAGUCCUGGCUGCGCUCCCCUCGCAGGGAACCUGACCCUGGAUCCCUGCCGGCCUCUCCCCCUCGCACCUGCUUCCCAAGCUGCCUUGGGAGGUGGUGUGGACCCCUCAGCCUGCCCCCGAUGCCCUUGCUCAUCAUCUCCGUCCCUCCGUGCCCAGGUCAGGGCUCGGGACUCCUGAGGCAGACACCUGCGAUCCUUUCACCCGGCCCCUCCCCACCGGCCCAGUCUCAGUCAAACUGGAUUCCUGGCUCCACAGAAAGAGCUGGACCCACCCCCACCCCACACAACUCCCUGGGGUGUUACUUGGUGCCCACUGCUCCAUAACCCGAGAGUGUAGCGCCCCCCGGGAGUCGUGCUCGGCACACAGCACCCCUUCACUGUCCAGCCCCCCCCCAAGCCAUCCCAACCUGAGUUCUUCCCUUUGAAGUCGCAGCAGUUGCACCUGGCCGGGCUCUAGGGGAAGGCUCUGUCCCCGCAGCAUAAGCACCAUUUAUUUACUGGGUGGAUGAUACCCCCGGGUCUGGCCCCUGCUUGCUCUCCCUACCCAGUUCUGGCCAAGCAGGUUCUGGUUCUGUCCCUUCUGCCCUGGCCCCAAAGGGCAUCACCUCCAAGCCCGUCAGCCCUGGCUGAGCCCCGGCCACUGCGUGAGGGACAUGGGAGGUCCCCUGGUCCUCAUCCCACAACAACUCCUCCACUGAUCCCGUGGGAAAGUUGCUGGCAAGGCCAGAUGCACAGAUGAUGAUAAAAAAAAAAAAAAAUAAUAGUAAUAAUAAUAAUAAUAAUAAUAAUAGCAGCAGCACUGGUGCCAUGUGAGGAAAGUGAUAAGGACCGGGUGUCAUCAAGGUGGAAUUUCUCUUUGACACUCCCAGGACUUCAUCAUCAGAUUCUCCCCCGAGGGUCUCCGCCCCCUCUCCUCCCACCCAAGCCUGGUGUGAGGCCUUCUGGUCUUCAGGUCCUGCUUCACCUCAGCUGGGCCCGGCUGCCACCCCUGCUUAUCUGCCCCCAGAACGUCAGGUGCCCCGGCCAUGCGCGACUCAGUGUCUGUCUCCUGGCUGAGCUCAGCUUGGGCACGGGGACGGGGAGAGGGCAGUUUCUUCUGAGACUGGUGGUGACUCAGGGGCCUGGGGCCUUUGUGCCUUUCUUUGUUGGCCAUGGCUCAGGAAUCCAGAGAAACUGGUCAGGGGCGGCCCCUGGGAUCCGUCCCUCCUCUGUCCCGCCCCUCCUCCAGAGGCGUAUAACUGCACCUGUGUCCUCAUUGCUGGCGGCAGCU
Molecule: long non-coding RNA, 4388 nt
Filed under: Heterocephalus glaber (naked mole-rat)
Lineage: Eukaryota; Metazoa; Chordata; Mammalia; Rodentia; Bathyergidae
Description: lncRNA (ENSHGLG00000037972.1)
Source: RNAcentral